RNAcentral lists this transfer RNA (72 nucleotides) under Cercospora beticola. RNAcentral's name for it is "tRNA-Gly". It matches the Rfam family "tRNA". From Rfam's summary of the family: Transfer RNA (tRNA) molecules are approximately 80 nucleotides in length. Lineage: Eukaryota; Fungi; Ascomycota; Dothideomycetes; Mycosphaerellales; Mycosphaerellaceae. RNAcentral also lists the same sequence under 2 other names. The record is from RNAcentral.
GCAUUAAUGGUCUAGUGGUUAGGAUUGCUGCCUUCCAAGCAGCAGGGCAGGGUUCGAUUCCCUGUUAAUGCA